UCCAUUAGGAGGGAUUCACUUAUUCACAUCUCUUUUUUAAUCUGUCCUGGCAGCUAAAUAUUCGGGCCUGUGGGUUUGCGCUAAAGCUGUGGUAACAUAGUGUUAAAGUAUAUGUUCCACUAGACUCGCUCCGGGUUCGUGUCCCUAACUAUUGUUAGUACGGACUGAGUUUACAGGGGCAUUUUUUCCCCUUCAUUUUUUCGGGAGAUAUCAUGUAUGCAACACCCUGUAUAUUUGGUUUAGAGAACAAAGGCAGUGAAUUCAAACAACAGGAAGGGGAUGUCGAGACAUUCUGUCUACAACCGAGGUGGGGGGCACCGGGCGCUGAUUAGAGAUAUCAUUGUUUAACCCACCCCAGGCGGUCGGCAGAUAUCUGGACAUGCCGUAUGCAUGAUAGUGCACACCUUGGUUUCAAACGAUUCUCUACAGAUAGAAUGGGGCUACAUGCUUGGGCCCCUGUUGAACACACACACCCCCUUUUGUUUUUGAAACGCACACACACUCUUGCUGCUCCGUCACACGCACACUCACUCACGCACCCUGAUUUUCCAUGUCUUUUUUUUGUUGUUGUUCGGGACAGACCGGGGUUAUGGAUGGAAAGGACAUUUUCCUAUCGUUAAAGGACAUUACAUUUCUCUGCGACAGACCCUGGCGUGAGAGAAAAGACAGCUUCCCCUAUCGUUAAAGGAUAAAGGGUCCGGUUAGCCCUGACCAUUAUCCGUUUCGAAUUCACCAUCGCAAAGACGCUUGCCCGCUCCAUCAAAACUCUGUAAGUUUUCCCUCCAUGUGUAGAUCAACCGUCCUGCAUGUAAAUCCUGGGUAUGCCCAUGUAACAGGGUUAUAUUGGUGAUUCCCCUUGCCACUUUAUUGUUAAGCCAAUGGGUUUUUGGUUUGAGUUUGUUUUGCCUUC
This is a non-coding RNA of Oncorhynchus mykiss (rainbow trout), 910 nucleotides long. The record is from RefSeq and is a predicted model, not a curated record. NCBI's taxonomy places the organism in Eukaryota, Metazoa, Chordata, Actinopteri, Salmoniformes, Salmonidae.